RNAcentral lists this ribosomal RNA (216 nucleotides) under Glomeromycotina sp. Its description in RNAcentral is "partial small subunit ribosomal RNA". The stretch from base 87 to 216 matches the Rfam family "Eukaryotic small subunit ribosomal RNA", at positions 733 to 864 of the family's 1831-position model. The record is from RNAcentral. Lineage: Eukaryota; Fungi; Glomeromycota.
GGGUCAGUAGGUUGGUCGUGCCACCGGUACGUACUGGUCUCACUGAUUCCUCCUUCCUGAAGAACCGUAAUGCCACUAAUUUGGUGUUGCGGGGAAACAGGACUGUUACUUUGAAAGAAUUAGAGUGUUUAAAGCAAGCUAACGCUUGAAUACAUUAGCAUGGAAUAAUGAAAUAGGACGAUCGAUCCUAUUUUGUUGGUUUCUAGGAUUGACGUA